Molecule: long non-coding RNA, 800 nt
Organism: Scylla paramamosain (green mud crab)
Lineage: Eukaryota; Metazoa; Arthropoda; Malacostraca; Decapoda; Portunidae
Exons: 4
Source: RefSeq, a predicted model, not a curated record
AGGACGUGCGCGCGAGCAACAGAGCAACAGUUUCCAGGCGCUGCUGCAGCCUGUAGCGCGUACUGUCUGCCAACUUUCAACCGUCUCACUUUCUGCUAAGUACUGUUGCUUGACCUCCGUGUGAUGAAGUGACCGUGGUGAUGAAAAAUGAAAGUACGAGCGUGAUUUGAUAAUAGGAGAACUAGUUUGUCGUAAGCUUGGAAACACAAGAACUGGUGUGGUGAAACAGAAAAGUUUAUGCCGCGGUUUGACAUUUCCCGCCCUGAACACUGAACACGCCGGGCAUUAGUAAGGGCGGCCAAAGGUGGGUGUGUGGUGUGUGGCAGCAGCAGUCAGUGACUAGUGCCGGCGGGUGGCGGCGGCGGCGGUGUUGGAGGUGGUGCCUUACAAGGCGUGCAGGAAAGCCAUGACGGCUUUGGUGGCAGCAUGCAGACGGGCGGCAACGGACGGUCUGCCAAGUCUACCUGGGCUGGGCGGACUAGCACCCUGGCUGCUGCUGGCGGCGUGGACACAAGCGGCCGUCGCAAGAGUCAACGUGAAAUGUUUAUGGUAGAAUCUCGAGGGAACACGGGCGGAAAUGGAGGGAGGUGAUAAAGGAUUCCCACCGUUGCCCUUUCGCCACUCCCAGCCGGCAUAACGAGAGUAACACAAGAGGCUAAGGACACCACACAAUGUACACCUGCAAGAAAGAUCGAAAGAAAUAAGAACACGACGAAAGAAAAGAGAGAGAGAGAGAGAGAGAGAGAGAGAGAGAGAGAGAGAGAGAGAGAGAGAGAGAGAGAGAGAGAGAGAGAGAGAGA